RNAcentral lists this long non-coding RNA (508 nucleotides) under Priapulus caudatus. RNAcentral's name for it is "uncharacterized LOC106810346, transcript variant X1". The record is from RNAcentral. Lineage: Eukaryota; Metazoa; Priapulida; Priapulimorpha; Priapulimorphida; Priapulidae.
UGUUUCUCUACAUCGCGAUCACUGCCUUGCGACGGCUUGUGAUCUAACUGUAGGCCUAGGGAAAGUUAUUUUUGGUCCCACGUUUUUUUCCUAGUAAGUGUGAACACGUGCGGGUGUUAAUUUCACACGUGCGGAUUCACACAGGAAUAUGUCGUAUACAUUUAAUACGUGUAAAUGAAUACAGAAGCAAAUAGCCUCUGGAUACACUUAAUUUGCACUCAUACAAGAGAAAAGCCGUAUAUGUGUGUAUAGCUGUAUGUGUGCGAUACAUGUGAAUACAACAGAUGUACGUGCUACCUCCGGCAAUCUCCAGAAGCACGUGAACAGUCACGCAAGAGAAAGGUAUAUCAUUGACAACGAAAUCGCUGUUAUGAUAGGAGAUGAUCCUAGAAGGAAUAGAAAAAGAACACGUUCCCCAGAAGAGCUAACCACACGCACAAGAACUCGCGUCCUUACACAAUGUGCUUGCAUGCAAUACACGUGAACGUGGGUGUACUAUCUCCCGUAG